This 654-nucleotide long non-coding RNA is filed under the name Gossypium barbadense (sea-island cotton). RNAcentral describes it as "long non-coding RNA (GBAR_LNC015399)". Lineage: Eukaryota; Viridiplantae; Streptophyta; Magnoliopsida; Malvales; Malvaceae. The record is from RNAcentral.
UUAUCCCCCUUUAUCCUAGCUGAAACCGUCGCACAAGAAUAGCUCCAGCUCAUGUAGAGUUUCAUUUCAAUUUUACUUCUCAAAGCUGAACAUAAUCACUUGACUUUAAUUAAAGUCGGUCACCACUCCAAGAGGGAAAUUAAAUAAUUCCCUUGCUGAUUUUGCUGCAUAUUCGGUCUGCUGUAAUUUAAUUGGACCGAAUUUUCUUAUUUGUCCAAUGCCAAUUUAAUUUCUUCAAAACCAUCAAAUGAUCAUCCCCAUCUAAUAGCUUUAAUCAUGCGGAUUAACUUCCAAAAUUGAGCUUAUACGGGCAUCAAAAUGUUCCUUACCUGCACAUGAAAUAAAAUUAAAAUUAAAUUGUUGAAUUGGGGUACAAUUAAAUUAAUACGGCAUAGAAUGUAUUUAAUCAAUUUAGGCAGAAUUAUAACUUAAUUAACCAACAAUUAAUCAACAAUUUAAUAAUUUAAUUGAAUAAGUUAAGCUCAAAAUUAAACUUAACAAACUCCCCCAUACUUAAAUUAUUGAUCGUCCCUGAGCAAUCAAGUCAAAAAGAACCAAGAAGAAUUUCAGAAAUGUCAAGAUUAAUCAAGAGUUGUUGCAUCGCUCAUGCUUGGGAUGAAUUUUUGAAAUCCAUCAAUUUAGAUUUUGGUUUAU